Molecule: ribosomal RNA, 489 nt
Filed under: uncultured bacterium
Lineage: Bacteria
Description: bacterial SSU rRNA
Rfam family: Bacterial small subunit ribosomal RNA
Source: RNAcentral
AUGAACGCUAGCUACAGGCUUAACACAUGCAAGUCGAGGGGCAGCGGGAUUGAAGCUUGCUUCAAUUGCCGGCGACCGGCGCACGGGUGAGUAACGCGUAUCCAACCUUCCGUACACUCAGGGAUAGCCUUUCGAAAGAAAGAUUAAUACCUGAUGGUAUGAUGAGAUUGCAUGAUAGCAUCAUUAAAGAUUUAUCGGUGAUGGAUGGGGAUGCGUCUGAUUAGCUUGUUGGCGGGGUAACGGCCCACCAAGGCGACGAUCAGUAGGGGUUCUGAGAGGAAGGUCCCCCACAUUGGAACUGAGACACGGUCCAAACUCCUACGGGAGGCAGCAGUGAGGAAUAUUGGUCAAUGGACGAGAGUCUGAACCAGCCAAGUAGCGUGCAGGAUGACGGCCCUAUGGGUUGUAAACUGCUUUUAUAAGGGAAUAAAGUGAGUCUCGUGAGACUUUUUGCAUGUACCUUAUGAAUAAGGACCGGCUAAUUCCGUG